GCCUUCCAAGUUCCCUAGAACGGGACGCCAGAGAGGGUGAGAGCCCCGUACAGUUGGACACCAAGCCUUUGUAAAGCUCCUUCGACGAGUCGAGUAGUUUGGGAAUGCUGCUCAAAAUGGGAGGUAUAUUUCUUCUAAAGCUAAAUACCGGCCAGAGACCGAUAGCGCACAAGUAGAGUGAUCGAAAGAUGAAAAGCACUUUGAAAAGAGGGUUAAACAGCACGUGAAAUUGUUAAAAGGGAAGCGCUUGUGACCAGACUUGCGUCCGGUGAAUCACCCAGCUCUCGCGGCUGGGGCACUUCGCCGGCUCAGGCCAGCAUCAGCUCGCUGUCGGGGACAAAAGCUUCAGGAACGUAGCUCUCUUCGGGGAGUGUUAUAGCCUGUUGCAUAAUACCCUUCGGCGGGCUGAGGUACGCGCUCCGCAAGGAUGCUGGCAUAAUGGUCAUCAGCGACCCGUCUUGAAACACGGACCC
Molecule: ribosomal RNA, 473 nt
Filed under: Colletotrichum gloeosporioides
Lineage: Eukaryota; Fungi; Ascomycota; Sordariomycetes; Glomerellales; Glomerellaceae
Description: partial large subunit ribosomal RNA
Rfam family: Eukaryotic large subunit ribosomal RNA
Source: RNAcentral